Molecule: ribosomal RNA, 253 nt
Filed under: uncultured bacterium
Lineage: Bacteria
Description: partial 16S ribosomal RNA
Rfam family: Bacterial small subunit ribosomal RNA
Source: RNAcentral
UACGUAGGGUGCAAGCGUUGUCCGGAAUUAUUGGGCGUAAAGGGCGCGUAGGCGGUGCGGUAAGUCACCUGUGAAACCUCUAGGCUCAACCUAGAGCCUGCAGGCGAAACUGCCGUGCUUGAGGGUGGGAGAGGUGCGUGGAAUUCCCGGUGUAGCGGUGAAAUUCGUAGAUAUCGGGAGGAACACCGGUGGCGAAGGCGGCGAUCUGGGUAGAUACUGACGCUGAGGUGCGAAAGCGUGGGGAGCAAACAGG